This 1057-nucleotide long non-coding RNA is filed under the name Ornithorhynchus anatinus (platypus). RNAcentral's name for it is "lncRNA (ENSOANG00000037664.1)". The record is from RNAcentral. Lineage: Eukaryota; Metazoa; Chordata; Mammalia; Monotremata; Ornithorhynchidae.
AUAAAAGUGAUUACUCUGCUGCAAAGGUUUUUAUAGGGUUUAGGUCUUGCUAAGGGGGAUGUUUAGGGGAGAGAAGCUUUUUUUUAUGGUCAUGUAUAGGAACUGACACUUUGUCUGCAGCAAUCUACUUUACCUCCUAAACAUAUCGGUACUCAAAGACUCCAUCUGUUGGAUUUGUAUGAGUAAUCCUGGGGCUGGCAUUUCUUUGCCCUUCAUGUAGAAGCCUGGAGAGAUCCUUGUAACUCUGGAACAAGGAGGCUCAAGACAGACACCAGAUUCGAUCUUCAAAGGAGGCAAACCUGCUUUUAUCCAGCCUCAGCUGGAAGCUGUGUUGCAGCAGAAAGAAGAGAGACCCACCUAAAUGGUGCUGCCACUAAUGGAAGCCCUGUGGAAAAGAGAUCAGCAAGAUACUAGUACAGUCACCAGCUCUUUCCUGCCCUUCCUCCAGCUCUCUCCCAGGCACUGCCCCCAUUUUGAGGCACCGAUUCGAGGAGAAGUCUGUCUCUUUAAUUGCAUCUCCCAGAGAGGGUCCAAUCUCUGUCCCGCUGCAUGCUACGGUCCUCAAGUUGCUUGGCAGGCAUCUUCCAUCUCCUUGCCCACCAGCCUAUGUGUUGGAUCUUUGAUCUCCCCUCUGGAAGCCCGCAGCCCUGAGAGCCACCUUGGAUUCAAGAAGUUCUGUAUGGCCUCAGCUUCUGACGAUUGAGGUCCUAACUUUUUUCACCCUGAAAGAACUAAGAUGAAGAUGUGAAUGGCCUUGCUUUUAUUCAAAUGAAUGCAGCCCUUUUUCCCCAUUUAUUUUAGUGGCUGUGAUUUUUCAGGGCUCUCUUUGAUUUUCUUAUAAUGAAAUCCACUGAGGAGAGAAUGGCAAAAUUUUGUAAGAAAAUUGUUUGCUUGAUGGAAUAUGCAGGUUAAAGCUAUUUUAAUCAAAUUCCUAAAUGCUUUUAAAAUCAAACAAGCUAACAGCAAUAACAAAGGUACUGUACAAGGGCCUGGACUUACAUGUCAGGAACAUGAAUAAAAUGAAGCGUGUCCAUUCUUUUCCUCCCAUCCAUUCUCA